CCAAGAACCCUUUAUUAUUAGCAGGCUGAACUAACCAACCGAAUACUCUUCCAGAACAAGUUAAGAAAACAUAAAAUGCCACAAUAGAAUGGACUUGGAUACACUCUCCAUUUGCAGUAUUAUAUAUUUAUUCAAUCCCCAGCUUCGGUUUGAAGAUCUGCAAAACGACUUCAUAAACCUCCGUUUGGUCACUUAAAGACUUGGAGACGCUCUCCUUUUGCAAGCAUCUCUCGCCCCACUCCACGAGCUUAGGGAACUCGGUGUUGGAAUAUUGCCAAUUAUGUGGCUGCCAUUGUCAAAGAAGAUGGCUGCCAUGUGAGAGUCAAAGAGGGCUGCUGAUGCAGCAUUUGCAGCCCCUUGACAUUGUCAAAGAAGGAGGCUACAAUGGUGGGUUGUUGGUGGCAGCCAACAACCAUUGUCCAAUGUCAAAGUUUGGUAAGUUUGGCAGCCACCAUUGUUGACAAAGGAGCAAGAGGAGCUGUCAUUGAAGCCUAUAAAUAGACACCAAGAGUGCAGCAUAAAGAGAGAGAGAGAGCAAGAACAAAAGAGAGAAGAAGAGAGAAAGAAAGAGAAGGGUUGCCACCAGCAGCCCUGCUGCCAUAUGCAGCUGCUGCCCUAUGUAGCAAUGAGAGAUGGGAGUUGAGUGGAUGUGAUCCUCCUCCGUGUGUUGUAUUCUUUCUCUAUCUCUAAUAAUAUUGAUCUCACCCGUGGAUGUAGGCGAUUAGCCGAACCACGUUAAAUAUUGUGUCAGUGUGCUUUACCUCCUAUGAGCAAAUAUCAGAACAUCACCGGUCGGAAUUCCCUAAAAUUGGUAUCAGAGCUUAUGGUUUAAAGUGGUGUUUGAUUUUUUGCUUAAAAAUGAAAGUUGUCAAAAUUAUGUUUUGACCAUACCAUUGUGUA
This 900-nucleotide long non-coding RNA is filed under the name Populus trichocarpa (black cottonwood). RNAcentral describes it as "long non-coding RNA (PTRI_LNC002770)". The record is from RNAcentral. Lineage: Eukaryota; Viridiplantae; Streptophyta; Magnoliopsida; Malpighiales; Salicaceae.